GAUGAACGCUAGCGGCAGGCUUAAUACAUGCAAGUCGAGGGGCAGCACGGUUAGCAAUAACUGGUGGCGACCGGCGCACGGGUGCGUAACACGUAUACAAUCUACCUUAAACAGGGGGAUAGCCUUUCGAAAGAGAGAUUAAUACCCGUAAUAAAUUGAACGGCAUCGUUUGAUUUUGAAAGCUCCGGCGGUUUGAGAUGAGUAUGCGUCUGAUUAGCUAGUUGGUGAGGUAACGGCUCACCAAGGCGACGAUCAGUAGGGGAUCUGAGAGGACUAACCCCCACACUGGUACUGAGACACGGACCAGACUCCUACGGGAGGCAGCAGUAAGGAAUAUUGGUCAAUGGAGGCAACUCUGAACCAGCCAUGCCGCGUGCAGGAUGACGGCCCUAUGGGUUGUAAACUGCUUUUAUACAAGAGAAAACCCUGGUACGUGUACCAGGUUGAUAGUAUUGUAAGAAUAAGCAUCGGCUAACUUCGUGCCAGCAGCCGCGGUAAU
This 499-nucleotide ribosomal RNA is filed under the name uncultured bacterium. Its description in RNAcentral is "bacterial SSU rRNA". It matches the Rfam family "Bacterial small subunit ribosomal RNA", at positions 28 to 524 of the family's 1533-position model. The record is from RNAcentral.